Molecule: ribosomal RNA, 484 nt
Filed under: uncultured bacterium
Lineage: Bacteria
Description: partial 16S ribosomal RNA
Rfam family: Bacterial small subunit ribosomal RNA
Source: RNAcentral
AUUGAACGCUGGCGGCAGGCCUAACACAUGCAAGUCGAGCGGAUGAAGGGAGCUUGCUCCUGGAUUCAGCGGCGGACGGGUGAGUAAUGCCUAGGAAUCUGCCUGGUAGUGGGGGAUAACGUCCGGAAACGGGCGCUAAUACCGCAUACGUCCUGAGGGAGAAAGUGGGGGAUCUUCGGACCUCACGCUAUCAGAUGAGCCUAGGUCGGAUUAGCUAGUUGGUGGGGUAAAGGCCUGCCAAGGCGACGAUCCGUAACUGGUCUGAGAGGAUGAUCAGUCACACUGGAACUGAGACACGGUCCAGACUCCUACGGGAGGCAGCAGUGGGGAAUAUUGGACGAUGGGCGAAAGCCUGAUCCAGCCAUGCCGCGUGUGUGAAGAAGGUCUUCGGAUUGUAAAGCACUUUAAGUUGGGAGGAAGGGCAGUAAGUUAAUACCUUGCUGUUUUGACGUUACCAACAGAAUAAGCACCGGCUAACUUCGUG